AUGGUGUUUUCAUUUUUCAUCGUCACCCUCCCUUUCUCUUUCUCUAGGGUGAGAGGGGGAAUAAUGGUGUGCCUGAGACCCCUGGGACAAGCGGUGAAACUGGGCUCAGAGGCAGAAAAGGAGAGGUCUACAGGCUGCUCGUUAUGGCGCACACCUGUCACCAUCGUUACGCGCACCUGCACGUCGUCAGACUCACCUGGACAUCACUUCGUUGAUUACCUGCCCUAUAUAUGUCCCUCCCUUUGGUACCAUUCCCCAGGUUUCAUUGUUUCUGUUUCAUGUCUGUGUGUUGUUCGAGGUUCUUGUUUUGUAUUAUGUUCUGUUUAUUUUCUUAAAACAGUUUUUUGUUUUUUUUGGUCAGGCUCCCCUGCCUCAGCCGGCUCGACAGGCUCCCCUGCCUCAGCCGGCUCGACAGGCUCCCCUGCCUCAGCCGGCUCGACAGGCUCCCCUGCCUCAGCCGGCUUGUCGGGCUUUCAUGCCUUUGCCAGAUCCCCUGCGUCCACUGACUCGUCAGGCUCUCAUACCUCAACCGGAUCGCCAGGCUCCCCUGCCUCAGCCGGUCUGGCAGGUUCCCUCGUCCCAGCCGGCGACAGGUUCCUGCGCAUCAGCGGGGGUGACCGGUCCGCCCCUGAUCCCCAGGAUCGUCCCUUGGGUUGGCAUCCUGCGGCUGGUGCCAAACACGCCCGGGAGGGGGUACCGUCAGUUAUGCUCUCUCUCCGGCACUCUAGGUCGCCAUGCUCCUGCGUCUCAGCCGGAUAGAGUUUCCUGUGCCUCUGCAGAGGUGUCCGGUCCGCUCCUGUUCACCGGGAUAGUCACUUUGGGUGGCGUUCUGCAGCUGGAGCCGCGCGUCGGGAAGGGGAUACUGUCAUGUGUGCUCCCUCUCCGACCUCGUUACGCGCAUCGUCAGACUCACCUGGACUCCAUCACUUCGUUGAUUACCUGCCCUAUAUAUGUCCCUCCCUUUGGUUCCUUCCCCAGUCAUCAUUGUUUCUGUUUCAUGUGUGUGUGUUGUUCGAGGUUCUUGUUUUAUAUUAUGUUCUGUUUUAUUUUAUUAAAACACUCACUCCCUGAACUUGCUUCCCGACUCUAAGCGCACGUCGUUACUCACUCUCUCACACACAGUAUCUUCUGUUUUGCAUUUGAGUAUAUGCAAUGACCCUGUGCACAAUUGACAUACUUACAAAUGCGUCUUAAGAAGACAGUGAUCGUAAUUGCAAUGAGCCCAACAAUUGACAUAAAUACAGGAGUCUUGUAUAGGAGUGUAGUGUUUCUCCUGUUGGAACAUUUUUACAACCUAGUCGAUGACUGAUGGAUUUUAAAUGAACAAAAUAUGUUGGUUGGGUGACUAAACUACAUAACGUGUUAUCGUGUGCAAUGGGAGAGUCUGCAGACACACGGCGCUUACAGCAGCAGAACAACGUGUAGUGAUUUUACAAGAGUAGGUAACACCAAAAGCUUCAGUUUACAUUAAUGACCAGCUAUUUGCUGUCAGAGCAGCUCACAGAUCACUGCAACUGUACAUAGCCCAUCUAUAAAUAGCCCAAACAACUACCUCUUCCCCUACUGUAUUUAUUUAUUUAGCUCCUUUGCACCCCAGUAUUUCAACUUUGCACACUCAUCUACUGUCAAAUCUACCAUUCCAGUGUUUAAUUGCUAUACUGUAUUUACUUCCCCACCAUGGCCUAUUUAUUGCCUUUACCUCCCUUAUCUCACCUAAUUUGCUCACUUAUUUUCUACUGUAUUAUUGACUGUAUGUUUGUUUUACUCCAUGUGUAACUGUUGUUAUAUGUGUCGAACUGCUUUGCUUUAUCUUGGCCAGGUCGCAGUUGUAAAUGAGAACUUGUUCUCAACUUGUCUACCUGGUUAAAUAAAGGUGAAAAAAGAAUAAUAUACAGUGCCUUGCGAAAGUAUUCGGCCCCCUUGAACUUUUCGACCUUUUGCCACAUUUCAGGCUUCAAACAUAAAGAUAUAAAACUGUAUUUUUUUGUGAAGAAUCAACAAGUGGGACACAAUCAUGAAGUGGAACGACAUUUAUUGGAUAUUUCAAACUUUUUUAACAAAUCAAAAACUGAAAAAUUGGGCGUGCUUAAUUAUUCAGCCCCCUUAAGUUAAUACUUUGUAGCGCCACCUUUUACUGCGAUUACAGCUGUAAGUCGCUUGGGGUAUGUCUCUAUCAGUUUUGCACAUCGAGAGACUGAAAUUGUUUCCCAUUCCUCCUUGCAAAACAGCUCGAGCUCAGUGAGGUUGGAUGGAGAGCAUUUGUGAACAGCAGUUUUCAGUUCUUUCCACAGAUUCUCGAUUGGAUUCAGGUCUGGACUUUGACUUGGCCAUUCUAACACCUGGAUAUGUUUAUUUUUGAACCAUUCCAUUGUAGAUUUUGCUUUAUGUUUUGGAUCAUUGUCUUGUUGGAAGACAAAUCUCCGUCCCAGUCUCAGGUCUUUUGCAGACUCCAUCAGGUUUUCUUCCAGAAUGGUCCUGUAUUUGGCUCCAUCCAUCUUCCCAUCAAUUUUAACCAUCUUCCCUGUCCCUGCUGAAGAAAAGCAGGCCCAAACCAUGAUGCUGCCACCACCAUGGUUGACAGUGGGGAUGGUGUGUUCAGCUGUGUUGCUUUUACUGUCAUGUAUUGUCAUGUUGUGUCUUUCUGUCCUUUCCUUUCACCCUGUCUCCCUCUGCUGGUCGUAUUAGGUUACCUUUUCUCCCCCGCUUUCCCCCAGCUGUUCCUUGUCUCCUCCUAACUACCCAUUCACCCCGUUUCCCACCUGUUCCCUUUUUCCCUCUGAUUAGGUCCCUAUAUCUCUCUCUGUUUUUGUUCCUGUCCUUGUCGGAUUCUUGUUUGUUGUGUUUCAUGCCUGAACCAGACUAUCGUCAUGUUUGCUGUAACCUUGUCCUGUCCUGUCGGAAUCUGCCGGUCUGUCUGAACCUACCUGUGUUUGGUAAUUAAAGAAGCUCUGUUAAGUUAAUUCGCUUUUGGGUCCUCAUUCACUCACCGUG
Long non-coding RNA from Oncorhynchus mykiss (rainbow trout), 2991 nucleotides. The record is from Ensembl. NCBI's taxonomy places the organism in Eukaryota, Metazoa, Chordata, Actinopteri, Salmoniformes, Salmonidae.